Long non-coding RNA from Mesocricetus auratus (golden hamster), 189 nucleotides. RefSeq lists it as uncharacterized. NCBI's taxonomy places the organism in Eukaryota, Metazoa, Chordata, Mammalia, Rodentia, Cricetidae. The transcript has 4 exons. The record is from RefSeq and is a predicted model, not a curated record.
CUCACUAGGCUCAAGACUAGAGGAGCAGUGUGGAGGUGGAUUGAUAUUGGUACACAGGAACCUUCUUUAGGAGCGUCUGUGACUGGUUAUAGGCAGCGACACCCAAUUCUCCCCCACACCAUAGGUAGCCACGCCCAAUUCUACCCCAUACCAUAGGCAACCACAACUAAUUCUACCCCACACCAUAGG